RNAcentral lists this ribosomal RNA (309 nucleotides) under uncultured bacterium. Its description in RNAcentral is "bacterial SSU rRNA". It matches the Rfam family "Bacterial small subunit ribosomal RNA", at positions 29 to 334 of the family's 1533-position model. The record is from RNAcentral.
AACGAACGCUGGCGGCGCGUUUUAAGCAUGCAAGUCGAACGGGAUUCAUCCUUCGGGAUGAUGAGAGUGGCGAACGGGUGAGUAACACGUAGAUGAUCUGCCUUGAAGUUGGGGAUAGCCUAUAGAAAUAUGGGGUAAUACCGGAUAAUCUCUUACGAUUUUGAUUGUUUGAGGAAAGGGGCUUCGGCCUCGCUUUGAGAUGAGUCUGCGGCUUAUUAGCUAGUUGGUAGGGUAAUGGCCUACCAAGGCGACGAUAAGUAGCCGGCCUGAGAGGGUGACCGGCCACAUUGGGACUGAGACACGGCCCAA